UACGUAGGGGGCAAGCGUUGUCCGGAAUUAUUGGGCGUAAAGCGCGUGUGGGCGGCUCGGUAAGUCUGCUGUGAAAGUCCAAGGCUCAACCUUGGAAUGCCGGUGGAUACUGUCGAGCUCGAGUCCGGAAGAGGCGAGUGGAAUUCCUGGUGUAGCGGUGAAAUGCGUAGAUAUCAGGAGGAACACCGAUGGCGAAGGCAGGUCUCUGGGCUGACACUGACGCUCAUGCACGAAAGCGUGGGGAGCAAACAGG
RNAcentral lists this ribosomal RNA (253 nucleotides) under uncultured bacterium. Its description in RNAcentral is "partial 16S ribosomal RNA". It matches the Rfam family "Bacterial small subunit ribosomal RNA", at positions 524 to 776 of the family's 1533-position model. The record is from RNAcentral.